CUGAGCCGCGGGGUUAUUGCUUGCCAUGUGAUGUCAGUGUUUUGUGGGCGCAGUGACUGUGUAUGAGCUUCCAAUUCCCAGAAUCAUCAGCUCUCAUAAAGAUUGCGAUAAGGGCUGCUGAGAGGCUCUGCGAUUGGCAGGUAAUGAAAAGCUGCUCUCUGGUCUGGCUGGAGCCUUCUCUCCCCCAGCCUGUCCUGGUAGGGGAUGUGCUCCAUCCCUUGGAUCAUUACUGUGGCCCUCCUCUGGACAACAGGUCUGCAUCUCUCCUGUACUGAAGACCCCACACCCGGACGCAGGGCUCCAGAGGGCUGUUCCGAUGAUGAUUUCAGGGAAGAGACUGUGUGAGUAAGAAGAAGAUGAUGAGGAAGAGGUUGGGAAAAAACAAACAGUCUAGUGCACACCCUAAGUGGAUGGAUAAAAUUUGCAAGUAAUUACUGUAGGAUGGAAACAUUUGGGAAACAGAAUGGAAGAAAGUGAACCGUAAAUACUGAUAGACUCGUGGUUUAGCACUGGAAAACUUGUGAUGAACAGGACGGUCAUCUUUGCUUAUAUGUUUGUUAUAUCUAUAUUAAGAAUCUAACCAAAAGGCAAAAUAUUGUAACAUCAAACCCAACCAGAUGCACCAGGGUUUAUUUCUUUCAGAUUGACACUGUGAUAACCAAAGCCUAUACAGAUUUCAGGGUCAGCACAGGUCAAAGAGUUGCUCUGGACGUUAUCAUUUUGGCUGCAAAUGAAGGCUGAUGAAAUAUGAAUUUCAAGAGAACAGAAUAUGAAUGUUUUCUAGGCCUUGUGUUAUUAUAGAACUUCAUCAAAUACCAGUAGAUUGUAUAUCAAGUGGUCCCAGUCUGCCCUUGUCUCAAACAUAUUCUCUGAUACUAGAGCUGAAAGGGUAUAGGCAUCUUAUUUCACACCAUAGGAUGCUGCAGAGCCAAACUACAUUAACAUACAACAGCUAAGAUUAAUGUUUGGAAGUGGCCCAGUCUCUGAGUCAGACUGAUCCUUUCCGUUCAUAAACUUUAAAGUGCCAGGAAAAAAGUUUAGAAGUCCAAUUAAAAUAAAACCCAGAUAGCUCCACUUCAGGCUUAUCAUCACUGUGUGAGGAGGGCAGCAUUUCACUCUUCCUCUGUGAGUUGCUUGAGCAAGAAUCUCAAAGUGACCUCACAAGAGACAGGCUGAAAGAGGUCUCCUUUGUUAAGGCUGAGAAUGGAGACUGAGAAGCCUGGCUGGCAGAUUUUUCUGUGUUUGUUGCUUUAUUCAACUUGGUUUACUUAUUUCUCCUCGUGCACACUCAUUUGAAAGGGAUCUUUCUUUUGAGUUUGGUUUCUGAUGAACCAUCUUCCCAGCUCCCCAGAUACAUCUCCAGUCAGCUCCCGUGAUAGCAUGAAACUUCUUAUUCUUACCUCUCAGUUCCUGCACCGUCUGUGUAUCUGCUCUCAUUUCUUCCUUAUUCCCUCCUGAUGAUUAUUCACAUCUCAAGCAGGUUCUCUCUUCAUUCUUUCAUAUCUUUCCACUCCUUUUUGCACGUUUUGUGUGUUUACAGCACUUGCUUGUUCUCACUAUCUCCUUUGACAAUAAAAGACAACCCUUGGAGACUAUCUCCAAUCUGGAGUCUCUCUUUGGCCAAACAGCAGAUGGUUGCAGACAGCAAGAAAGAUAGAUGCCAGAUUGGAUCCUAUGACAUCUGAAAUUGGCCACCCAAAACUAACCUCCCUCCUAAUCAGAGUCCCCAACAAUGGUGUUUCAGAGAUGCUGAGUCCACAGACUCCAGGUGCAAUCAAUACAGGCCAGAGACGGCCUCCUCUGGCUUCAUUCUUUCUAGAUUACAAAAGCCUCUUUUUGGAAGAUUUUCUCUGGCCACACCCUGACUUCUGCAACAGAUUGUUUAGCACUGAGAAAACCUUCCCAAUCCGCUGACCAUCAUCCUGCUGGCAAACAACCAAAGAAGAGUGAUGAAAACACAAGUGUUAGUUGCAGGAGAGGCCGCCUGCUAGCAAAUCACAGAAGCAGCAAUUAAAAAUCCAUAUUCAAAUUAUGACAAAAAUGAAAAAGAGUAGGAUUCUCUUGUCUGUGGAGUCCCACUGGGCUUAUUCAGCUCCCCAAAUGCUACACAGUAUCUGGAGGAAACCCCUGAGAAAGCUGAUAAGGCAGCAGCCAAAAGUAAACCGGCAAAGUGCUAUUCAACGUCUCACUCCAGUUCUGAUGGAUCCAAUGAUGGAUGAGAAUGCUAAACUGCAACACCAUGACUGGGUGCCCACGGGCUGCUGCUGAAGGAUUUGGCUGGUUUUCCAACUAAGCUUCCAGUGUUUUCUUUGGAAAAUUCCUCCUAGCCAAGAUUUUGGCUUGUUUAACUUGUUCAGUGCUGGGGGGGCAGUGAGUGGCCCAAUGCUGUUGAAUCCUCACAUACAUGUUUCAUUGAAAAGCACCACUUUCCAUACAUCACUGAGUACAGAAUAGCAUUCACUCUGUCUGGGCAGCCACCUGAGCUCAGCCUGACUUCACACUCAGGAUACUCAUCCUGCCUUCCACAGCCCAAGCUGAGAACAAACCCACCCACCCUGAGGUCACUCUUAACACAACAAACCAAGCACUCGGCAUCACCAGCCCUUGUUGAGCUCUCACACUGACUCCCCACUGACACUAUGCUGGUACGAGGUCUCUGGGAGAGAUCCAAAAUAGCACUCAGGCACCGAAGUGCAACUUGUGCAGACUGCUGGCGCCGGUGCUCCUAAGAGCAGCCCCGGAAAGCCUGUCCUCCCCUCCCUCAGCUACGUCAGAUGCUCUAAGAGCCUACAGCUCCUGGUGAAAGCUUCCUCUGGCGCCUAAAGGUCUGCUGCCUUUCUGUGCCCAGCAGCCUCACUGCUCUGCCUGGGCUGAAUUCUCAUGCCUACUUCUCUCCCAAAAUAUGGUGGGCUUUUUUGCCAGUAAGGAGGACCCAAAGGACCCAAUCUACUAGGCAUGUUGUGAUUGAACAGGACACCAAGGACAAGGCUGAAGGGAAGGAACUCUUGGGAGUGCUUAUGUACUUAUAUGUAUUUAACAUUAGUAAGUCAUGGACCCCCCCCAGUCCAAUAUCACCAGUAUCCCAGCCCUACAAUUACCACCGUUUCCAAGAGAAGGGCCCUAACAAGCCACUCUAUUCCAGCACAACAGUUGGCACUCCUGGUCACACAACAGUUCAGCUUUCUGACACUGGACUGAGAGCCCUCUCCUUUCUUCCCCUGAAUGCUUGAAAUUUCUCACAGCACUCCCUAUAAGUUCAAAGGUCCAGAAGUGAACUUGGGAGUAUGCAAAACAACAAUGGUGGAUUAUCUCCCAGGAAAAUUUCCACGGAGAAGUCUGAUUCAAGUGUCAGUGUUAAACGUGUGACUUACUUAAAGCCAUAAAUGAUCUCUUUUUGGUUCCAUAUCAGGGUCUCAUAGGGAUAUCCUCAGACAAUCCCUUCUCCCAUGUAUUUCCUGCUGAUUGAUACAGGCGUCUCAUCACUCAGUGUACUAGCCAUGGGCAAAAGUCCUUAGGUUCCUAAUUAUUCCUCUCCCAAGUACAGGGAAUUUAGGCAUUUAACUCACUGUAGAAUAGUCUUCCCUUGAAUUACUGAAUUAAGUGAACUCCUUUAGAUGCUAAACUUUAAACUGUUAUUUGUUACUAAUUGAAAUCUCUUUGAGAUUUGGCCCUCUGUUUUUUGCGUUCAAAGUCCUUGAUUACGUUGCUUACCUCCA
Molecule: non-coding RNA, 3716 nt
Organism: Coturnix japonica (Japanese quail)
Lineage: Eukaryota; Metazoa; Chordata; Aves; Galliformes; Phasianidae
Source: RefSeq, a predicted model, not a curated record